Molecule: ribosomal RNA, 249 nt
Filed under: uncultured bacterium
Lineage: Bacteria
Description: partial 16S ribosomal RNA
Rfam family: Bacterial small subunit ribosomal RNA
Source: RNAcentral
GCAAGUCGAGGGGCAGCACGAUCUUCGGAUUGGUGGCGACCGGCGCACGGGUACGUAACGCGUAUGCAACCUACCUUAUACUGAGGGAUAGCCCGGAGAAAUUCGGAUUAAUACCUCAUGGUAUCAUCAGAAGGCAUCUGAAGAUGAUUAAAGAUUUAUCGGUAUAAGAUGGGCAUGCGUGACAUUAGUUAGUUGGUGAGGUAACGGCUCACCAAGACUAUGAUGUCUAGGGGUUCUGAGAGGAUGAUC